UUCAAGCAAUUCUCCUGCCUCAGCCUCCCAAGUAGCUGGGACCACAGGUGUGUGCCAUCAUGCCCGGCUAAUUUUUGUAUUUUUAUUAGAGACGGGGUUUCACCAUGUUGGCCACGCUGGUCUCAAACUCCUGACCUCAGGUGAUCCAUCUUGCCCAGUCUAUUUGUACAUAUUCUUAAUUUAUAGCAAUAUAGUUAUUUGCGUAAGUGCAAUAAAAAUCCGUUUUCUUUUGUAACAGAACACAAAUAAAAAACUGGCCUCCUAUUUUGUGUACACAGUCCCUGUACAGGGUUUCUAAUCUGUGGGAAGUAAAACAUGCCACUUUCUAACGGACAAAAACCUCAAGUUAUCUUGGAACCUCAAGAGGAGAGGAUUUCACCCAACUCACAGCAGGUGCUGCCUCGAAGCCCCCAAAACAGAAAGUGCUACCGGGAACAAAUCCACCUCUUUCACUCCAGUGCUGUGUUUGCUGCCCCGUGACGACAACCCUCUCUCAGCAGGAAGCAGCCAGAAAGAUUACAAUGCUUCAUCUCCCUACGAUUCUCGUGAUUAAUAAAUAAAUAUACAUGCAUGAUAAAAA
Long non-coding RNA from Pan troglodytes (chimpanzee), 580 nucleotides. RefSeq lists it as uncharacterized. The transcript has 2 exons. The record is from RefSeq and is a predicted model, not a curated record. Lineage: Eukaryota; Metazoa; Chordata; Mammalia; Primates; Hominidae.